CAUUAUUGAAAUAAACUGAUGGGUUGUUGCUGGUUCUCUAGGGAACAUGUGCACACUUGUCAUCUUUAUAUCUCCACCUGUGCAUCUUUUGUAGACCCUGGAUAUCUCUCUGAGUGCUUGCAUUUGGGUUUGAGGAUUGACUUUUAGUCUCUUCUUAUUUUUCCUGGUCUAUGUUUCUUCAUAUACCCCUAAUGUAUGUUAUAGAAUGUAAUAAAUGGGCCUUUGUGCCUAUAAACCUAUACAACUUUCAGCAACGGAUCUCUUGGCUCUCGCAUCGAUGAAGAACGCAGCGAAAUGCGAUAAGUAAUGUGAAUUGCAGAAUUCAGUGAAUCAUCGAAUCUUUGAACGCACCUUGCGCUCCUUGGUAUUCCGAGGAGCAUGCCUGUUUGAGUGUCAUUAAUAUAUCAACCUCUUCAGAGUGUUGGAUGUGGGGGUCUCUUUGCUGGCCUUUCUGAAGUCAGCUCCCCUGAAAUGCAUUAGCAGAACAAAUAUGCGGACCUGUUCAUUGGUGUGAUAACUAUCUACGCUAUUGACGUGAAGCAGUUCAGCUACUAACAGUCCAUUGACUUGGACAAUAUUCAUUAAUGUGACCUCAAAUCAGGUAGGACUACCCGCUGAACUUAAGCAUAUCAAUAAGCGGAGGAAAAGAAACUAACAAGGAUUCCCCUAGUAACUGCGAGUGAAGCGGGAAAAGCUCAAAUUUAAAAUCUGGCAGUCUUUGGCUGUCCGAGUUGUAAUCUAGAGAAGUGUUAUCCGCGCUGGACCG
This 766-nucleotide ribosomal RNA is filed under the name uncultured fungus. RNAcentral's name for it is "eukaryotic LSU rRNA". The stretch from base 243 to 396 matches the Rfam family "5.8S ribosomal RNA". The record is from RNAcentral. Lineage: Eukaryota; Fungi.